Molecule: ribosomal RNA, 666 nt
Filed under: uncultured archaeon
Lineage: Archaea
Description: bacterial SSU rRNA
Rfam family: Archaeal small subunit ribosomal RNA
Source: RNAcentral
GCAGCAGGCGAGAAAACUUUGCAAUGUGCGAAAGCACGACAAGGUUAAUCCGAGUGUUUUCUGCUAAAGAAAUCUUUUGUCAGUCCUAAAAACACUGAUGAAUAAGGGGUGGGCAAGUUCUGGUGUCAGCCGCCGCGGUAAAACCAGCACCUCAAGUGGUCAGGAGGAUUAUUGGGCCUAAAGCAUCCGUAGCCUGCUUUGUAAGUUUUCGGUUAAAUCCAUGUGCUCAACAUAUGGGCUGCCGGGAAUACUGCACAGCUAGGGAGUGGGAGAGGUAGACGGUACUCGGUAGGAAGGGGUAAAAUCCUUUGAUCUAUUGAUGACCACCUGUGGCGAAGGCGGUCUACCAGAACACGUCCGACGGUGAGGGAUGAAAGCUGGGGGAGCAAACCGGAUUAGAUACCCGGGUAGUCCCAGCUGUAAACUAUGCAAACUCAGUGAUGCGUUGGCUUGUAGCCAGUGCAGUGCCGCAGGGAAGCCGUUAAGUUUGCCGCCUGGGAAGUACGUACGCAAGUAUGAAACUUAAAGGAAUUGGCGGGGGAGCACCACAAGGGGUGAAGCCUGCGGUUCAAUUGGAGUCAACGCCAGAAAUCUUACCCGGAGAGACAGCAGAAUGAAGGUCAAGCUGAAGACUUUACCAGACAAGCUGAGAAGAGGUGCAUGGCC